GGCGGCGUCCAGGAGCCUGGAGGCCUCCCGGUCUUCAAAGCUGGUGGCGCCGAGCAUCUCGGCGCGACGGGUUCGAUUCCCGUCCGUCUCCGCCA
This 95-nucleotide transfer RNA is filed under the name Microtetraspora sp. NBRC 13810. RNAcentral's name for it is "tRNA-Sec". It matches the Rfam family "Selenocysteine transfer RNA". Lineage: Bacteria; Bacillati; Actinomycetota; Actinomycetes; Streptosporangiales; Streptosporangiaceae. The record is from RNAcentral.